UUUCUAAAAAAGUUAAAGUACAAACAAAAGAGGAACAAUAGGGGGUCCCCGGUUGCAGGCAAAUACACACUUGUGUAUGUUGGCACCUUACAUCAUGUGUGUGAAUUUGAUCUAUUAACUGUAGCUUCAGACCUACAUGUUUGAGGCCACUCUCUUCCCUGAGAAUCUGAUGAGGCUGGGAAUAGCAAUAAUGAUAUCACGUAAGCAGUGGUGUAUCAGGAGGGGGUGGGGAGUGGAGGGGGAAGGAAGCUGCCCCUUGGUGACAUGUUGCCCGAUGGAAGCUGCCCCUUGGUGACAUGUUGCCUGGUGGAAGCUGCCCCUUGGUGACAUGUUGCCUGGUGGAAGCUGCCCCUUGGUGACAUGUUACCCAAUGGAAGCUGCCCCUUGGUGACAUGUUGCCUGGUGGAAGCUGCCCCUUGGUGACAUGUUGCCUGGUGGAAGCUGCCCCUUGGUGACAUGUUGCCUGGUGGAAGCUGCCUCUUGGUGACAUGUUGCCUGAUGGAAGUUGCCUCUUGGUGACAUGUUGCCUGAUGGAAGUUGCCUCCUGGUGACAUGUUGCCUGAUGGAAGUUGCCCCUUGGUGACAUGUUACCUGGUGGAAGCUGCCCCUUGGUGACAUGUUACCCGAUGGAAAUUGCCUCUUGGUGACGUGUUGCCCAUUUUUGGAGGGGUUAUUAAUUAUUUUUAAUUAAGAAAUGACACUACCCCCUUCUGUGGAGUAGGAGGAGGGCUCUUUCAUGGAAUAAAAACAGAAGUAGUAGUUGUUUUUGAAAUUUGCCUUCCCCAACCCCAAACCUGGAUACACCAUUGCAUGCAAAACAAACUUUGUAUGUGUAUGGAAGAAAAUGACUUUGUACAUUACCAAAUUGCUCCUUCAGCAUGAAAACUGACGUCAGGUUUGAACUUUGAACUGAAAUAAAGCCUUCCCCUUUAUUUUAAAGGUUUCCAGUCAGGGAAAUCUAUGUUUCAGUGCUUGACGCAAGAACCCUUCUUGUGUGUAUAUUGGCAAUGUCAUGUCUUGCAUGGGCCCCUCCCUUGUGCAUCAUGCUGAUGUAAGAGGCUGAACUAUUUAGUUAAAGUUGCCAGGCGUAAAUUUUUUUGUCUGUGAACCUUGCAGAGUUAACCUUAGAAGCUUAGAUGAAACCUUAUUUUUUGGUACUCCUAUUUUGCUUAUUUCUUUUUACCCUCAACCUUAAUUAUUUUCUUUUUAGAUGUUUUGCAACGAGGACACUAUCUGAUGUUUUCUUUUCUGUCUUUGUAAUACUGGGUCAUGAUUUUUUUUUCUCUACAAAACAAAACGUGCGCCCUCUACUGGUAGAGAGCGCUACAAGUGGCUUGUCACUUUGCAAAUGAAGUGGAGUGGGUUAAGUGUCUAAUUAUUGAGCUGGUCUUUAAUUGUGUUCCGAAAUUCCAGAACAGAUCCCAUCACAUUUUCCAAUAAAUUAAAGAACUUCAUUAUUGAAAUUGCUCACAGGGGGCGCUGAAAUUGACUUCUUGGAAAUAGAAAUAUGGUUUAUGUUGAUGAAUAAUUAAAAAAUUGUGCUGAAUAAUAUCUGAAUAUUUCAAGCCACAUACGAGUGCAGCUUGAAACACACCUCCCCCCCCCAAAAAAAAAAAUCUGGCGACUCCCCGCAGAACAGAUUACCUCAAAUAAGAUAAAUUCAGGGUACACGGUCAAUAUAUCAUUGCAUUCCCAUGAAUUAAGUCUUUUGCGUAAACGAAGAUGGAUAAAAAAAAUAUCCAAUGAUUAAACCAGUGCAAAAACCGCUGUAAUCGUGCGGAGAUGUCAUCCAGGAAAGGAAUAUUCAGUCAGUGUUUUUUUUUCUGUCCAACCCACUAUUUACUCAUUGAAAACAUUUCUGAGACGGGUUGCUGAUUAACGCAUUGCUCUGUACUAAAAAGCAUGUGCACAACCACUCGCCAAAGAAAAAUAAACUAAGACCAAAAACAAUUGACAAUUCCUUUAGUUUCCGUCCACAAAUCAAUAAAAACGUAAAUGUGUUUACCCCGCAAUUUGCAUGCACUUCUCCAAGGUGCCAAAGUACUUUUUUUUUCCAAAUAGAAGCACAGAGGUUUGCUUUCAAAGGUUGUAUUAAAAACUUGCAUUGCAGAGACUUUUAUCUUGAACAGCUACAACACCUCUGAUUAUAAUGCAUGCAAGUAAGGUGAUGUGUGGUCGGUACGCGCAGGACAGCGUUGUACAAACAAUACGCCACUUCGUUAAAUUUGAAGUGCAUGUAGCUUGACGGUGUAACCCAAUCAGAUUUAGAUUGUGGAUCAAUUUGACCCAACAGCCUCUAUCGUUUAGGACUCGAGGUUGUCUUGGACGUCCCCAUGGGCGCUACGCGUGGCCGGGGGUUGUUUGCUCUUGUAGGCUUUCCUUCCCUUUUAGCUUGAGUGGCAAACCGUAGGCUAAAAACAACGCAGUGGUCCAUUUUGGAAUGCCCUUGUAUCGCCUCAUUCAGUGCUUCUAUUAUCCGUUUUCGCCGUCACCUAUGAUCAGUGUUGUCUUGUUUUUUCCUCCCGUUAGUGUCCUGAUUCUUCUUUUUAAAAGUCUCCAGCCCCCAACAGUCUGGUACUUGAUCUGCCCCCCACGAGGUGAGGUUCGGGGAGGGGGGCAGCCUCAGGGGGCUUUUUUGUCUAGCCACCUGAAAAAGGCAAAUUUGUUUUAAAGCAGUAGCGAAAGUUAAAGGGUAACCUCUCGUGUGAAGGGUCUAUUCACCUCCCAAUGGCUCUACAACCGCUCCAGCCCCUAACGUGCUACUGCCCAAGCACCCCUUUCUCACGCAGCCUAACUACACUGGCCAGGUACACAGUUUGGAAGCAUAGUAUUUCCUCCGAUGGUGUGGCUUCUCUGUUUGCUUUUCGAUGCCUUGCGCACCAGGGCAACCCAGCCAAUUCAUAUAAUCUCAGUUUUCCUAUCUCAUAGCGCAUGGGUCACACUGGUAUCAUGACUAUUUGGUCCCGAGGUCGAGAAUUUUAAGGAUUGGAGGGAACAUGAGGAUUUCACGCGCCUUCAGGUCCCUGGGAUCACUCCCGGUAGCAUACAUUCCGGACAUCCAAUCAAUUCCUCAAAGGCUAGGGGCCUAUGUCGAGGAUUUACGAAAAUUUACACUCUUGGGCUAUCAAAAUUUGAACACAAACAGAUGUGAUUCAGAAAAGGGUGGAUUUUCGUUUCCAGUGUUUUAUUUCAAAAAUAAUAACUCCGACUUGCUGUCCCCGGCACGUUCUGAAAAUUAAUCACGUGUAUUCUUGGUUUGGUUGAUGUCCUUCGUCAACAUUGUUUGCGUGAAAUAAAUUUCAGUGCAUGUAUUCUGUUUAAACAAAGUGACACAUUCCAAAUGCAAUGUUAAGCCUAUAUACAUGUAACUAUAAGGUCUUCAUAUUUAAGUACGUACGGCGAAAGUGAUAAAUCCACGUAAGAAUUUUUUCUUCAGAACUCGAAAUACAUAUAUAAUGUGUACAUAAAACUGACAUGAAAUAAUUGCAAUAAGUCAAACUAUACUAAAUAAUUUAGCUUUAAUACACCAUAUUCUUUUUGAUAUACAGUUUUGUAUUUGGGAAAGUAGUAGUUGUGGCCCAGUUUCCACAUCGUAAUGUGGAACGAUUUAUUAAUCUAAAGUUUAUUCAGAAAACAAAAUCCAGCCGACAUCUUCAUUGGCGUUUUGAAUUUUUGCUCUUCAAAAUGGCGUACGUAGGAGCUAUAACAGGCUGUUAAGCACAUAAAACGGCAGCUCUCAAUUUUGUUUGUGUCGGGGGGGGGUUAAAAGCGAAUAGAGCUUCGAGCUUAUUCAAUAUUAUGUUGAGGGAGAAAAAAAUCAGACUUAUUCGCGGUCCGUACAUCCUUGCUUUUAUUUCGUGGUGUAGUUUCUUAGGGUUUUGGUGCUAAUAUUGAUUAAAAUUUUUUAUUAACAUUUGAUAUUACAAAAUCCGUGGGGGGGCUGCCCCUUGUCUCGCUCCCUGCUGGAUGCGUCACUGAUUAGUUGUCAUUUUUAUAUUACAUAAUUCGCUAUAAAAGAAAGAAAAGACAAAACAAGCGGUAGGUCUAUCAGUUGUCUGGUAUUUUGUUAAAUUGCAUUCUUUGUUACCAAACAUAAAAACAGCAAAUCAUUUCAUAAAGUGCAGUCAUUAUUUAGACAUGAACUGUCUUUGCAACUACUUUAUAAGUGUUACUUUUUAGAAGAGAAACAAGCAAUCAUAAUAAACAGGCGCUCUUACGCGAAAUAUAA
Long non-coding RNA from Acanthaster planci (crown-of-thorns starfish), 4228 nucleotides. The record is from RefSeq and is a predicted model, not a curated record. NCBI's taxonomy places the organism in Eukaryota, Metazoa, Echinodermata, Asteroidea, Valvatida, Acanthasteridae.